AGAGCGGCGGACGGGUGAGUAAUGCCUAGGAAUCUGCCUGGUAGUGGGGGAUAACGUCCGGAAACGGACGCUAAUACCGCAUACGUCCUACGGGAGAAAGCAGGGGACCUUCGGGCCUUGCGCUAUCAGAUGAGCCUAGGUCGGAUUAGCUAGUUGGUGGGGUAAUGGCUCACCAAGGCGACGAUCCGUAACUGGUCUGAGAGGAUGAUCAGUCACACUGGAACUGAGACACGGUCCAGACUCCUACGGGAGGCAGCAGUGGGGAAUAUUGGACAAUGGGCGAAAGCCUGAUCCAGCCAUGCCGCGUGUGUGAAGAAGGUCUUCGGAUUGUAAAGCACUUUAAGUUGGGAGGAAGGGCAGUAAAUUAAUACUUUGCUGUUUUGACGUUACCGACAGAAUAAGCACCGGCUAACUCUGUGCCAGCAGCCGCGGUAAUACAGAGGGUGCAAGCGUUAAUCGGAAUUACUGGGCGUAAAGCGCGCGUAGGUGGUUCGUUAAGUUGGAUGUGAAAUCCCCGGGCUCAACCUGGGAACUGCAUUCAAAACUGACGAGCUAGAGUAUGGUAGAGGGUGGUGGAAUUUCCUGUGUAGCGGUGAAAUGCGUAGAUAUAGGAAGGAACACCAGUGGCGAAGGCGACCACCUGGACUGAUACUGACACUGAGGUGCGAAAGCGU
RNAcentral lists this ribosomal RNA (674 nucleotides) under soil bacterium Thia-S1R-M1LLLSSL-2. Its description in RNAcentral is "bacterial SSU rRNA". It matches the Rfam family "Bacterial small subunit ribosomal RNA", at positions 92 to 762 of the family's 1533-position model. The record is from RNAcentral.